RNAcentral lists this ribosomal RNA (253 nucleotides) under uncultured bacterium. RNAcentral's name for it is "partial 16S ribosomal RNA". It matches the Rfam family "Bacterial small subunit ribosomal RNA", at positions 28 to 279 of the family's 1533-position model. The record is from RNAcentral.
GACGAACGCUGGCGGCGUGCUUAACACAUGCAAGUCGAGCGGUAAGGCCCUUUCGGGGGUACGACGAGCGGCGAACGGGUGAGUAACACGUGGGUGACCUGCCCUCAGCUCUGGGAUAAGCCUGGGAAACCGGGGUCUAAUAACUGGAUAUGACUCCAUGACGCAUGUUGUGGGGUGGAAAGCCUUGUGCGGCUGAGGAUGGGCCCGCCGGCCUAUCAGCUUGUUGGUGGGGGAUGGCCUACCAAGGCGACGA